RNAcentral lists this transfer RNA (73 nucleotides) under Ixodes scapularis (black-legged tick). It matches the Rfam family "tRNA". From Rfam's summary of the family: Transfer RNA (tRNA) molecules are approximately 80 nucleotides in length. The record is from Rfam by way of RNAcentral. Lineage: Eukaryota; Metazoa; Arthropoda; Arachnida; Ixodida; Ixodidae.
UCCUGAUUAGCUCAGUUGGUAGGGCUCUCCACUGAAAAUGGAGAGGUCCCUAGUUCGAUACCAGAACCAGGCG